This is a long non-coding RNA of Ictalurus punctatus (channel catfish), 527 nucleotides long. NCBI's taxonomy places the organism in Eukaryota, Metazoa, Chordata, Actinopteri, Siluriformes, Ictaluridae. The record is from Ensembl.
AGAGAGAGAGGAGCGCGCGCGCGCGCGCGCUAACAGCACACAUAACGGUUCAUGUCCAUUUUCCCUCUCGUGCGCCGUGCGCGCGGCUCCCUCAAACAGCACGCGCUGAAUUUCACAAUUUCACAUCCAUAACGUCCUUCUACCGGUCUUAACGGAUCUUUCUUUUACACUCACUAUAAAACUGUACGUGUAAUGGAUCAUUCCGUGACCCGAGGUGUCAAAACUAUAUCUUAAGAGGUGUUCAUUCGAGACGUCAAGAUUAGAGACCAUAAUAUAAUCCUGUACGUGUCAACAUCAUGUGUGUUCAGACAUGAGCUCGAGUCGAACGGUUAACCCUUGGAGGAAAAAAAACGGCGUACGUGACCCGUGACCCGGAAUAUCGUCUUUGUAAACGAGUAAAUACAGUGUUUAUUCGGUGAAAAUGGCUUAACGCAGGCGACACACUCUCACUGUUGUCUCAUAAUGCAGAAGGAUGAGUGCGUAAGGAUCGGCCUUGAGAAGGAGACCUGGGUGACACCUUUAAGCCG